Molecule: long non-coding RNA, 311 nt
Organism: Tripterygium wilfordii
Lineage: Eukaryota; Viridiplantae; Streptophyta; Magnoliopsida; Celastrales; Celastraceae
Exons: 2
Source: RefSeq, a predicted model, not a curated record
GGGGAGUAUAAGAGACCUACAAAACCUCUUCCUGGGGAGUGUGGUUACUACUUGCACGAGCAUCAAUUGAUUCUAUCACACCCAAUUACAGACAAGGUUAUUGAGAUCAUUGCACCCCUUAAACUUCUGCUUCAAGCACACAUGGAAAGGUAACAGUUGGUCGGUAAUGUUUGGUGCAAUGAGGAAAAUGAUAAUAAUGCACUUCACGUCAAGUUAAUUACAUGGUUAAGUUUAGAAGCCUAAUUAAUAUAGUUCACAUGACUGCUGAAUAGGAAUUUCUAUUGGCUGCUAUGAUUAGUCAUUCCAUACUA